This 1099-nucleotide ribosomal RNA is filed under the name Arthrobacter sp. RA71. RNAcentral's name for it is "bacterial SSU rRNA". It matches the Rfam family "Bacterial small subunit ribosomal RNA", at positions 36 to 1149 of the family's 1533-position model. Lineage: Bacteria; Bacillati; Actinomycetota; Actinomycetes; Micrococcales; Micrococcaceae. The record is from RNAcentral.
AUUGAGGGUGCUUACACAUGCAGUCGAACGAUGAUCCCUAGCUUGCUGGGGGGAUUAGUGGCGAACGGGUGAGUAACACGUGAGUAACCUGCCCUUGACUCUGGGAUAAGCCUGGGAAACUGGGUCUAAUACUGGAUAUGACUGACUAUCGCAUGGUGGUUGGUGGAAAGCUUUUGUGGUUUUGGAUGGACUCGCGGCCUAUCAGCUUGUUGGUGGGGUAAUGGCCUACCAAGGCGACGACGGGUAGCCGGCCUGAGAGGGUGGACGGCCACACUGGGACUGAGACACGGCCCAGACUCCUACGGGAGGCAGCAGUGGGGAAUAUUGCACAAUGGGCGCAAGCCUGAUGCAGCGACGCCGCGUGAGGGAUGAAGGCCUUCGGGUUGUAAACCUCUUUCAGUAGGGAAGAAGCGAAAGUGACGGUACCUGCAGAAGAAGCGCCGGCUAACUACGUGCCAGCAGCCGCGGUAAUACGUAGGGCGCAAGCGUUAUCCGGAAUUAUUGGGCGUAAAGAGCUCGUAGGCGGUUUGUCGCGUCUGCCGUGAAAGUCCGGGGCUUAACUCCGGAUCUGCGGUGGGUACGGGCAGACUUGAGUGAUGUAGGGGAGACUGGAAUUCCUGGUGUAGCGGUGAAAUGCGCAGAUAUCAGGAGGAACACCGAUGGCGAAGGCAGGUCUCUGGGCAUUAACUGACGCUGAGGAGCGAAAGCAUGGGGAGCGAACAGGAUUAGAUACCCUGGUAGUCCAUGCCGUAAACGUUGGGCACUAGGUGUGGGGGGACAUUCCACGUUUUCCGCGCCGUAGCUAACGCAUUAAGUGCCCCGCCUGGGGAGUACGGCCGCAAGGCUAAAACUCAAAGGAAUUGACGGGGGCCCGCACAAGCGGCGGAGCAUGCGGAUUAAUUCGAUGCAACGCGAAGAACCUUACCAAGGCUUGACAUGAACCGGAACGGCGCAGAGAUGUGUCGGCCACUUGUGGCCGGUUUACAGGUGGUGCAUGAUGUCGUCAGCUCGUGUCGUGAGAUGUUGGGUUAAGUCCCGCAACGAGCGCAACCCUCGUUCCAUGUUGCCAGCGGGUUUUGCCGGGGGACUCAUGGGAGAA